UUGGAGGGCAAGUCUGGUGCCAGCAGCCGCGGUAAUUCCAGCUCCAAUAGCGUAUAUUAAAGUUGUUGCAGUUAAAAAGCUCGUAGUUGAAUUUCGGAAUCCAUCCGUCGGUCGGGCUUCACGGUCCGCACUGGUGUGAUGGAUUCCUACCUUCUGAAUAACCAGCAUGCUAUUAAUUUGGUGCGUUGGGGAAGCAGGACUGUUACCUUGAAAAAAUUAGAGUGGUUAAAGCAGGCUAGUGCCUGAAUACAUUAGCAUGGAAUAAUGAAAUAGAACGGCAUGGUUCUAUUUUGUUGGUUUCUAGGAUCACCGUAAUGAUUAAUAGGGAUAGUUGGGGGCAUUAGUAUUCAAUUGUCAGAGGUGAAAUUCUUGGAUUUAUUGAAGACUAACUUCUGCGAAAGCAUUUGCCAAGGAUGUUUUCAUUAAUCAAGAACGAAAGUUAGGGGAUCGAAGACGAUCAGAUACCGUCGUAGUCUUAACCAUAAACUAUGCCGACUAGGGAUCGGACGAUGUUGAUUUUUUAAUGACUCGUUCGGCGCCUUACGGGAAAC
Molecule: ribosomal RNA, 551 nt
Filed under: uncultured Glomeromycotina
Lineage: Eukaryota; Fungi; Glomeromycota
Description: SSU rRNA
Rfam family: Eukaryotic small subunit ribosomal RNA
Source: RNAcentral